RNAcentral lists this ribosomal RNA (515 nucleotides) under uncultured bacterium. RNAcentral describes it as "partial 16S ribosomal RNA". It matches the Rfam family "Bacterial small subunit ribosomal RNA", at positions 28 to 523 of the family's 1533-position model. The record is from RNAcentral.
GAUGAACGCUGGCGGCGUGCCUAAUACAUGCAAGUCGAGCGAAUGGAUUAAGAGCUUGCUCUUAUGAAGUUAGCGGCGGACGGGUGAGUAACACGUGGGUAACCUGCCCAUAAGACUGGGAUAACUCCGGGAAACCGGGGCUAAUACAGGAUAACAUUUUGAACCGCAUGGUUCGAAAUUGAAAGGCCGCUUCGGCUGUUACUUAUGGAUGGACCCGGGUCGCAUUCGCUCGUUGGGGAGGUAAUGGCUCACCAAGGCAACGAUGCGUAGCCGACCUGAGAGGGUGAUCGGCCACACUGGGACUGAGGCACGGCCCAGACUCCUACGGGAGGCAGCAGUAGGGAAUCUUCCGUAAUGGACGGAAGUCUGACGGAGCAACGCCGCGUGAGUGAUGAAGGCUUUCGGGUCGUAAAACUCUGUUGUUAGGGAAGAACAAGUGCUAGUUGAAUAAGCUGGCACCUUGACGGUACCUAACCAGAAAGCCACGGCUAACUACGUGCCAGCCGCCGCCGUAA